Molecule: long non-coding RNA, 352 nt
Filed under: Gallus gallus (chicken)
Lineage: Eukaryota; Metazoa; Chordata; Aves; Galliformes; Phasianidae
Source: RNAcentral
CUCCAAGUCAUACUGGCCAACCUCAUUCUUAAAUGUUAUAAUUCCAUUGGACAUGAGGUGGUGCCAGUGCAGUUUUCUACCACUGUGAUUCUUUUUGUAAAAUUCUUCAACUUCUGGGAUGAGAUCUUCCAAUUCCGUGGGCAAUGAGACAAACACUUUUUCAGAACUACGUGACCAGGCACCAGCAUUUAAAAUUUUAAUAUUCACAGAGUCAGCUGGUAAAGCAAGUUUAUUAUUUUUGUGCAUUUCUUUGAAGGCCUGGUUCAAGUCUUCAGAUACUUUGAUAUCCUGGAACAUUCUAGCCAACUUGUUUACAUAGUCUGCUGGCAUACCUACUUCUCGGAGCCACUCC